Phasianus colchicus (ring-necked pheasant) is the source of this 261-nucleotide long non-coding RNA. RefSeq lists it as uncharacterized. NCBI's taxonomy places the organism in Eukaryota, Metazoa, Chordata, Aves, Galliformes, Phasianidae. The record is from RefSeq and is a predicted model, not a curated record.
GGAUGAAUUUCCAUUUUGCAGCAGAAACAGACAAUGGACUUGUCACAGCAAUCUUACAGUGCUGUUUGAAUUAGUAGUGGCAGAUAAGUACAACUUCUCAUCAGAUGUGCUCAUGAAGCUCUGAAAACUGCACUGAUUUGGCCUGGUAGAUGAGGUGGUAUCCAAGCAAGAUACAAGAGCAUUUUAUCUCUAAACUGCCUAUUGAGGAAUACCAGAAACCUGUGUCAUUCUGAGGAACGGCUGAGACCUACAUCAUGUGCA